Mus pahari (shrew mouse) is the source of this 548-nucleotide long non-coding RNA. RefSeq lists it as uncharacterized. The record is from RefSeq and is a predicted model, not a curated record. NCBI's taxonomy places the organism in Eukaryota, Metazoa, Chordata, Mammalia, Rodentia, Muridae. The transcript has 3 exons.
AAGAGGCAGAGAUGAAGUUCCAUUUAGGGCUGUUUGUACCUCAGCUCCCUCUCACACCAAAGACUCGGAUGAAGGGCUCUCCGAAAACAGGACCACGCAUUGCACCCUAAUAUCUGGCACCAAGAGUCUGGAGGAUAGGGGUUCUGAAGACCACCAAACAUGGACAGUCAGAGUCUCUGGCACCUGGGCCCACCACCUACAGCCCCUCAAGAAGGUGUGUGGGCGGAGUCAGGAGGCCCUGGGAUUCUCCUGAGCCUCCCCUUGAGAUCGGCAAAGGGUCCAGGAGUUCAUGAGGAUCUCCCUAUGUAGCCCAGGAUGGCUUGGAACUCAAUGUCCUCCCUCAGGAUUACAAGAACCAACCCCACACCUAGCAAAACUCCCCACUUACAAGGGGGCUUCCAGUCCUGGAGAGAUGGCUCCGCGGGUUAAGAGCACUGACUGCUCUUCCAGAGGACUUGAGCACCCACAUGGCCGCUAACACGCUAACAACCGUCUAUAGCGCCAAGAUCGGCCACCCUCACACAGACAUACAUGCAGGCAACACCACC